This is a long non-coding RNA of Homo sapiens (human), 1670 nucleotides long. The record is from Ensembl. NCBI's taxonomy places the organism in Eukaryota, Metazoa, Chordata, Mammalia, Primates, Hominidae.
CUUGAACACCUCAUACCCACAGUCCUCCAGGUGGUUCCUAAGGAUCUUAGGAUCCCCGAUGGGCGUCCUAAGCCAGUGGGGGAAGAGGGGCUGGCUCUCAGUCCCCGCCUUGCGGGGGGUGUCUCCCCACCCUGUGAUGGGGGUCACAAGAGCCAGAGGGGGAAGAGGGGCUGGCUCUCAACCACCACGAAAUGGGAGGCCUUUAUGUUCAGGUUUUGCCCAAGAGUCAGCUUAUUUGCUUCUUGUACUAGCAGGGCAGUUGCUGCCAAAGCCCUCAAAUAGGGAGGCCGUCCUUUAGCAACCCUGUCUAGUUGUUUAGAGACGUAGGCUACCGGCCUCAGCCAGGGCCCCACAGUUUGGGUUAAAAGUCCAGCUGCCAUCUUUUCUCUCUCUGACGCAUACAAUGGAAAAGGCUUUGUCAGAUCGGGUAGCCCCAGGGCUGGGGCUGCCAGAAGAUUUUCUUGUAACUCAUGAAAAACUUGCUGUUGUUGGGAUCCCCAUUUCAAAAGUUCCGGGUCCCCGACCCCUUUGUGACCUCAUACAAAGGCUUGGCUAAUACUGCAAAGUUUGGGAUCCACAGUCUACAAAACCCCACAGCUCCUAAGAAUUCUCUCACCUGCCUUCUGCCCUUAAGCUCCGGUAGAUUGCAAAUAACCUGCUUUCUUUCUGUUCCCGAGCUGCGUUCGGACCCGUCUGAUCGUAAAUCCCAUGUAAGGUACCUGCCGUCGGAAGAUUUGAACGUUCUACUUGGACACCUAAAACCCACAGUCCUCCAGACAGAAAGACAACAGGUACAAAGCCCUAAGGAUUAUAAAGGUAUGCUGCUUACCAUCAUCUUAGUGACCAAGGCAGCGAAGCUGUUUCUGUACCUUGGAACAGUCUUCCCUGACAAGCCAGAGAACAGUGAUAAAGCCACCAGCCUUGGGAUCAGGACUGAAAAGGCAAGAGUGAUGGAGAUUUCUCCUGCGCUAAGCCAAGAGAAGGUUUCAGCACUUCAGACAGCUCCCACCGAAGUAGCCGCGCUCCCAGCUGCUUGCAGAUGUUGAAAAGGAAAGCCUCGGUUUGUCUUGAGGUUGUCAGCAGGUGCAAGACACGUAAUAAAAUGCAAUGUGUUCCUAAUUCAUUGCAUAUCCUCAGCUUUAAAUUUGGGUAGCAAAAUGAUUACUCUAGAUUCUUCAGUCUUGGCAAGUAUCUGUACCUAAAAAGCAGUUUUUCUACCUAAUGUCUUUUUUUGUUUUUGUUUUUCAAUACACCUUAAGCAAAUUGAAGCUUUUGUUCCUGGAGGAAAAGUGGUUUGAUAUGUUCAUCUAUCUUUUAGUAAAUUUGGGGGCAUAACUUUUCCAAUUCUGAGGAACUUUUCUAAGAAGAGUGCAUAAAAGUUUGUUGUUGUUUUUAAAGGAUGCAACAUUCAGCCUGUGUCAUGAGUUUAAUUAUACAAUUUAAAGGACAUAUGUGCAAUGCAUUUUGCAGAUGUGUGCCGGAUAUAUAUGUGCAGAUAAUGGGCAAGUAUAUAUGUGUGCAUAUAUAUAUCGGGAGUAUACUAUAUAAACACACAAUACACGCCCACCCACACACAUUGUGUAUUUUCCAGAAAAAAAAAAAAAAGCAUGUCAGGACUUACAUCUAAGUUAGAGAUGCUGUUUAGAACCCCAUUAAAAAAUGUACAUGUU